Non-coding RNA from Vicia faba (fava bean), 255 nucleotides. NCBI's taxonomy places the organism in Eukaryota, Viridiplantae, Streptophyta, Magnoliopsida, Fabales, Fabaceae. The record is from the annotation of a GenBank genome assembly.
AUGUUUCGAGUCUUAACCGAACGUCGUGCCAUGCCAUACGGAUCAAUCUCCAUGUCCAUCCUCACUGCUAAAUGUCAUGCCUCUAACUUUGCACCAAAUGCCUUGUACCAUGUCUUCCAGUCUUGUCUUGCUAAUGGACUUCAAUACCAUGCCUAUUUUGAAAGUCAAUCCCAACCUGUAUCCUUUCCAUCACAACCUACAUAUAGCAAAAACAAACAGCACAUUAGCACAUCAGUUACAGGACAUGCACUUUGA